RNAcentral lists this ribosomal RNA (1470 nucleotides) under metagenome. RNAcentral's name for it is "bacterial SSU rRNA". It matches the Rfam family "Bacterial small subunit ribosomal RNA". The record is from RNAcentral.
AGAGUUUGAUCAUGGCUCAGGACGAACGCUGGCGGCACGCUUAACACAUGCAAGUCGAACGAGAGAAGAGGAGCUUGCUUUUCUGAUCUAGUGGCGGACGGGUGAGUAACACGUGAGCAAUCUGCCUUUCAGAGGGGGAUACCGAUUGGAAACGAUCGUUAAUACCGCAUAACAUAAUUGAACCGCAUGAUUUGAUUAUCAAAGAUUUAUCGCUGAAAGAUGAGCUCGCGUCUGAUCAGCUAGUUGGUAAGGUAACGGCUUACCAAGGCGACGAUCAGUAGCCGGACUGAGAGGUUGAUCGGCCACAUUGGGACUGAGACACGGCCCAGACUCCUACGGGAGGCAGCAGUGGGGAAUAUUGCACAAUGGAGGAAACUCUGAUGCAGCGAUGCCGCGUGAGGGAAGAAGGUUUUAGGAUUGUAAACCUCUGUCUUCAGGGACGAAAAAAGACGGUACCUGAGGAGGAAGCUCCGGCUAACUACGUGCCAGCAGCCGCGGUAAUACGUAGGGAGCGAGCGUUGUCCGGAAUUACUGGGUGUAAAGGGAGCGUAGGCGGGAUCGCAAGUCAGAUGUGAAAACUAUGGGCUUAACCCAUAAACUGCAUUUGAAACUGUGGUUCUUGAGUGAAGUAGAGGUAAGCGGAAUUCCUAGUGUAGCGGUGAAAUGCGUAGAUAUUAGGAGGAACAUCAGUGGCGAAGGCGGCUUACUGGGCUUUAACUGACGCUGAGGCUCGAAAGCGUGGGGAGCAAGCAGGAUUAGAUACCCUGGUAGUCCACGCCGUAAACGAUGAUUACUAGGUGUGGGGGGACUGACCCCUUCCGUGCCGCAGCAAACGCAAUAAGUAAUCCACCUGGGGAGUACGACCGCAAGGUUGAAACUCAAAGGAAUUGACGGGGGCCCGCACAAGCAGUGGAGUAUGUGGAUUAAUUCGAAGCAACGCGAAGAACCUUACCAGGUCUUGACAUCGUAUGCAUAGCUCAGAGAUGAGUGAAAUCUCUUCGGAGACAUAUAGACAGGUGGUGCAUGGUUGUCGUCAGCUCGUGUCGUGAGAUGUUGGGUUAAGUCCCGCAACGAGCGCAACCCUUACUGUUAGUUGCUACGCAAGAGCACUCUAGCAGGACUGCCGUUGACAAAACGGAGGAAGGUGGGGAUGACGUCAAAUCAUCAUGCCGCUUAUGACCUGGGCCUCACACGUACUACAAUGGCUGUCAACAGAGGGAAGCAAAGCCGCGAGGUGGAGCGAACCCCUAAAAGCAGUCUUAGUUCGGAUUGUAGGCUGCAACCCGCCUACAUGAAGUCGGAAUUGCUAGUAAUCGCAGAUCAGCAUGCUGCGGUGAAUACGUUCCCGGGCCUUGUACACACCGCCCGUCACGCCAUGGGAGUCGGUAACACCCGAAGCCUGUAGUCUAACCGCAAGGAGGACGCAGUCGAAGGUGGGAUUGAUGACUGGGGUGAAGUCGUAACAAGGUA